GCAAGGUUAACUCAGCUGGUAGAGCAUGAGACCCUUAAUCUCAGGAUCAUGGGUUUGAGCCCCAAACUGGGCA
Pangasius djambal is the source of this 73-nucleotide non-coding RNA. The record is from the annotation of a GenBank genome assembly. Lineage: Eukaryota; Metazoa; Chordata; Actinopteri; Siluriformes; Pangasiidae.